Molecule: long non-coding RNA, 2040 nt
Organism: Cryptomeria japonica (Japanese cedar)
Lineage: Eukaryota; Viridiplantae; Streptophyta; Pinopsida; Cupressales; Cupressaceae
Exons: 11
Source: RefSeq, a predicted model, not a curated record
GAACUAAUAACACAGUGGUGCAGGAAAAUGUAUCAUAUAAAAUAUAUAUUACUAUCGAUUUAAUGAUUGCACCUCCUUUAGAUACAAGUGGUAAAUGUAUAUUAAAAGGGCAAAAAAAAACUCGCUUGCAGCAAGGUCCAUCCUACAAAUUUCUUUACAAUUGUAUUUUUGUUUUGGGACUUUAGAAUAUCGCUGAUAUGGCUUUGGUGAAGUUCAUCAAUAGGUACAAUCGGCUACUAUUUUGAGGGCUCAGCACUGACUGUUUAGGAAAAAACUUUUUUAACCGACCUCAAGAUUCAGGUGCUGGGCUACGUCAAAAUUAGGGUUGAGAGGAAAGAAAAUUAUGGGAAGGGCUUGGAAGGAAGUUUUUCAUGUUGUAAAACAAGCAGAAUUGCAUCACAAGCGGUGCUUAGGAUAUAAGUGAUGGAUCGAAUCCAAUAGCUUGUCCAGUACUGGGGAGGCCUACGCCAUUCACGUACAUGAACUUGCUUGGUCCGUGGAUGAGAAUGAAGUAUUCUAAGUAACAGAUGAGCUGGACAUCAAGCUGACUGGCCAGAGAAGUAAUAAUUACAUCCAGCAGUUAGAAACUUGUUUCUAGAGUUCUCUGGUGGGCACCUGUAGAGGCAUGUGUCUACUGCAUGCUUCAGGAUGAAUAUAGAAGGCCAUACAGAUGGCUAGUUUAUCGACCACCAAAAUCUGAUUGAAGCAGCAGCUGUAGAGAGAUUGGUUUUGGUUCAUCUCAUUUUAAAAAGAAUUAUGCCUGCUCAUUUUUUCUCAUCAGCAUUGUUAACUGCAUGACACAAUUUGUGCAGAAUCUUGAGCUGUAGAGAGAUUGGUGUUGGUUCAUCUCAUUCUAAGAAGCAUUCUGCUUCAUUAGGAUUAUGUGAUGUUUUUCCUGCAAACUCUGCCCAUUUUUAUGUUGUCCACAUUUUGACUGCAUGAUACAAUUUGGGCAGACUCUUGAGAAGAACACCAUUCAAAUCCAAAUCUACCUCACCAGAUGUAUGGCCAGUACUGGAUUGGAAGAAAUCUGGGAUUCCAAAUGUUAUGAGAGAAGAUUGCUGUCGGCAGCAGUUUCAAUCGACCCCAUUCUUCAAUGGGACUUCUUCAUUAAACAUGAGCCUCUACACACAGCAAGGAUCUCUUUAGAAUGGAUUCCAUUCUGGAUCCAUCAAGGUGGUUUUAGAGACAAAGGCAAUGAGUGGAGAUGCCAAGGAUUUCCUCUGUAGUGCCAUGAAGAACAAUGGCGCUGAUGUUCUAGAGUUGGGAAGUCAUGGAAAAAGACCUAUUAAGAGACAUGGAUCGUGGGCAAAUGGAUUGCCUUCAAGGAGGAGAAAUGUGCGCCCCUUGGAUUCCACUUCCAUCAAUUUGUGGUUCCACCAAUAUUUGAGUUGAGGAAUGACUGCGCCUAUGGAAAAUUGGUAGGCACGCAAUUUCGCCAUGCUGUGGAAGAACUUUUAACUUGUGAAGAGUAUAAUGUUCAAGCAAGUAACAUAAACAAUAAAUGUUUUUCUAUUGGAACCUUUAAAGACUGUUUACCAAAUUUUUUAAAUGAGGGUUCUGCUGCAAAGUUGUUUAUGCAUAAGGAAGGUCGCAAGGGUCCCCAGCUUACAAAUACCGUGAGGGUAUUACUUCUCACCUUGAUACAGAACUAAAAAAAUCAUCCUUUCAGCAUUUCAAAUGUCUUUUUUUUUUUAAGUUUCAUGUGAUAGGGAUACAUGUCUCUGAAAUUUGAGUUCUUAUCUUGCGUUGUGUACUAAUUGACUACUGUUCAGCAAAUUUACAAACAGGUCAGUGCCAAUUUCUCAUGAAUUAAAGACCAUACAGCUUAUUACUGUAACUGAAAUGUACUUAGCACAUGUAGCAACAUUAGCAAAAGAGUUAAAAGUAUGUUCUCUGAUUGUUAAUAACAAUGCAUAAACAUUCAGGAAAAGAGCUAAAAUCAUGUUCUCUGUUAAUCUUUACUUUUGUGCUCAAAUAAAUUUAGUUGUUGAAAUUACCUAUCAAACUGACGAAUGAUUAUAAUGAAAAAAAACUAUG